UACGGGGGGAGCAAGCGUUGUUCGGAUUUACUGGGCGUAAAGGGCGCGUAGGCGGUCGUGACAAGUCACUUGUGAAAUCUCCGGGCUUAACUCGGAACGGUCAAGUGAUAUUGUCGGACUAGAGUACAGAAGGGGCAACUGGAAUUCCGCGUGUAGUGGUGAAAUGCGUAGAGAUGCGGAGGAACACCAGUGGCGAAAGCGACUUUCUGGUCCUUAACUGACGCUGAGGCGCGAAAGCAUGGGGAGCGAACGGG
RNAcentral lists this ribosomal RNA (254 nucleotides) under uncultured bacterium. RNAcentral describes it as "partial 16S ribosomal RNA". It matches the Rfam family "Bacterial small subunit ribosomal RNA", at positions 524 to 776 of the family's 1533-position model. The record is from RNAcentral.